CAUCACGUGCGAUCACCGAAGUUAUGCAACAUCGAGCCUGGUCAGUACUUAGAUGGGUGACUGCUUGGGAAUACCACGUGCUGUAAG
Non-coding RNA from Acanthosepion pharaonis, 87 nucleotides. The record is from the annotation of a GenBank genome assembly. Lineage: Eukaryota; Metazoa; Mollusca; Cephalopoda; Sepiida; Sepiidae.